RNAcentral lists this ribosomal RNA (253 nucleotides) under uncultured bacterium. RNAcentral describes it as "partial 16S ribosomal RNA". It matches the Rfam family "Bacterial small subunit ribosomal RNA", at positions 524 to 776 of the family's 1533-position model. The record is from RNAcentral.
UACGUAGGCAGCGAGCGUUGUUCGGAAUUACUGGGCGUAAAGAGUGUGUAGGCGGCGCUCUAAGUUCGGUGUGAAAUCUCUCGGCUUAACUGGGAGGGUGCGCCGGAAACUGGAGUGCUCGAACGUGGGAGAGGAAAGCGGAAUUCCUGGUGUAGCGGUGAAAUGCGUAGAUAUCAGGAGGAGUACCGAUGGCGAAGGCAGGUCUCUGGGCUGACACUGACGCUCAUGCAUGAAAGCGUGGGGAGCAAACAGG